Molecule: RNase P RNA, 245 nt
Filed under: Caenorhabditis brenneri
Lineage: Eukaryota; Metazoa; Nematoda; Chromadorea; Rhabditida; Rhabditidae
Description: sRNA CBN33642
Rfam family: Nuclear RNase P
About the family: Ribonuclease P (RNase P) is a ubiquitous endoribonuclease, found in archaea, bacteria and eukarya as well as chloroplasts and mitochondria.
Source: Rfam by way of RNAcentral
GUUGGCCGGAAGAAGACGGUUGGGAGAGACACAAAGGCUUCUAAUAGCCUCAUCAUAACUCCCGGGAAGGUCUGAGAGAAGGUCCCUGUGAGAUCUAGGAGAUCUUCCACUAUCCUUAUAGAGGAGAGGCUGUAGAAGAAGAGUUUCCCCCGCGCGGGUUUGGAAACGGCCUCGACCAGCAACUCCAUCGAAUUAGCUGAGUGCGAUCGUCACACCAACACAAUUCAGACUAGUCUUCGGCCAAC